AUUGAACGCUGGCGGCAUGCCUUACACAUGCAAGUCGAACGGCAGCACGGGGGCAACCCUGGUGGCGAGUGGCGAACGGGUGAGUAAUACAUCGGAACGUGUCCUGGAGUGGGGGAUAGCCCGGCGAAAGCCGGAUUAAUACCGCAUACGCUCUAUGGAGGAAAGCGGGGGAUCUUCGGACCUCGCGCUCAAGGGGCGGCCGAUGGCGGAUUAGCUAGUUGGUAGGGUAAAGGCCUACCAAGGCGACGAUCCGUAGCUGGUCUGAGAGGACGACCAGCCACACUGGGACUGAGACACGGCCCAGACUCCUACGGGAGGCAGCAGUGGGGAAUUUUGGACAAUGGGGGCAACCCUGAUCCAGCAAUGCCGCGUGUGUGAAGAAGGCCUUCGGGUUGUAAAGCACUUUUGUCCGGAAAGAAAUCCUCUGGGUUAAUACCUCGGGGGG
Molecule: ribosomal RNA, 445 nt
Filed under: Burkholderiaceae bacterium Ellin7045
Lineage: Bacteria; Pseudomonadati; Pseudomonadota; Betaproteobacteria; Burkholderiales; Burkholderiaceae
Description: bacterial SSU rRNA
Rfam family: Bacterial small subunit ribosomal RNA
Source: RNAcentral